RNAcentral lists this ribosomal RNA (1540 nucleotides) under Enterobacter ludwigii. RNAcentral describes it as "bacterial SSU rRNA". It matches the Rfam family "Bacterial small subunit ribosomal RNA". RNAcentral also lists the same sequence under 4 other names. The record is from RNAcentral. Lineage: Bacteria; Pseudomonadati; Pseudomonadota; Gammaproteobacteria; Enterobacterales; Enterobacteriaceae.
AAAUUGAAGAGUUUGAUCAUGGCUCAGAUUGAACGCUGGCGGCAGGCCUAACACAUGCAAGUCGAACGGUAGCACAGAGAGCUUGCUCUCGGGUGACGAGUGGCGGACGGGUGAGUAAUGUCUGGGAAACUGCCUGAUGGAGGGGGAUAACUACUGGAAACGGUAGCUAAUACCGCAUAACGUCGCAAGACCAAAGAGGGGGACCUUCGGGCCUCUUGCCAUCAGAUGUGCCCAGAUGGGAUUAGCUAGUAGGUGGGGUAACGGCUCACCUAGGCGACGAUCCCUAGCUGGUCUGAGAGGAUGACCAGCCACACUGGAACUGAGACACGGUCCAGACUCCUACGGGAGGCAGCAGUGGGGAAUAUUGCACAAUGGGCGCAAGCCUGAUGCAGCCAUGCCGCGUGUAUGAAGAAGGCCUUCGGGUUGUAAAGUACUUUCAGCGGGGAGGAAGGUGUUGCGGUUAAUAACCGCAGCAAUUGACGUUACCCGCAGAAGAAGCACCGGCUAACUCCGUGCCAGCAGCCGCGGUAAUACGGAGGGUGCAAGCGUUAAUCGGAAUUACUGGGCGUAAAGCGCACGCAGGCGGUCUGUCAAGUCGGAUGUGAAAUCCCCGGGCUCAACCUGGGAACUGCAUUCGAAACUGGCAGGCUAGAGUCUUGUAGAGGGGGGUAGAAUUCCAGGUGUAGCGGUGAAAUGCGUAGAGAUCUGGAGGAAUACCGGUGGCGAAGGCGGCCCCCUGGACAAAGACUGACGCUCAGGUGCGAAAGCGUGGGGAGCAAACAGGAUUAGAUACCCUGGUAGUCCACGCCGUAAACGAUGUCGACUUGGAGGUUGUGCCCUUGAGGCGUGGCUUCCGGAGCUAACGCGUUAAGUCGACCGCCUGGGGAGUACGGCCGCAAGGUUAAAACUCAAAUGAAUUGACGGGGGCCCGCACAAGCGGUGGAGCAUGUGGUUUAAUUCGAUGCAACGCGAAGAACCUUACCUACUCUUGACAUCCAGAGAACUUAGCAGAGAUGCUUUGGUGCCUUCGGGAACUCUGAGACAGGUGCUGCAUGGCUGUCGUCAGCUCGUGUUGUGAAAUGUUGGGUUAAGUCCCGCAACGAGCGCAACCCUUAUCCUUUGUUGCCAGCGGUCCGGCCGGGAACUCAAAGGAGACUGCCAGUGAUAAACUGGAGGAAGGUGGGGAUGACGUCAAGUCAUCAUGGCCCUUACGAGUAGGGCUACACACGUGCUACAAUGGCGCAUACAAAGAGAAGCGAACUCGCGAGAGCAAGCGGACCUCAUAAAGUGCGUCGUAGUCCGGAUUGGAGUCUGCAACUCGACUCCAUGAAGUCGGAAUCGCUAGUAAUCGUAGAUCAGAAUGCUACGGUGAAUACGUUCCCGGGCCUUGUACACACCGCCCGUCACACCAUGGGAGUGGGUUGCAAAAGAAGUAGGUAGCUUAACCUUCGGGAGGGCGCUUACCACUUUGUGAUUCAUGACUGGGGUGAAGUCGUAACAAGGUAACCGUAGGGGAACCUGCGGUUGGAUCACCUCCUUA